Molecule: long non-coding RNA, 259 nt
Filed under: Vigna radiata
Lineage: Eukaryota; Viridiplantae; Streptophyta; Magnoliopsida; Fabales; Fabaceae
Description: long non-coding RNA (VRAD_LNC011617)
Source: RNAcentral
GCCUUCAAUUGUUUCAUCUCUUCACUCUCUAGGUCUUGGGAUGGUCCUUCAUUAACAGGCUGAUCACUAUUUGGCUUAAAAGGGAGUUUGACUUCCUUUACCCUUUCUAGGAUCCAUGUACGAUAAGUAACUUUGUUGUUGAUGGGUGUCGCGGCCCAUACAAAUUUGAUUGCAUAUGAGAAAUGCAGUAUAGCUAGGAAGUGACUCCUAGGUCGUCUCUUAAGGACCACCUGCAGUUCAAAAUCAGGUCAAACACGAA